This 1034-nucleotide ribosomal RNA is filed under the name Gammarus cf. balcanicus 1FA11. RNAcentral's name for it is "eukaryotic LSU rRNA". It matches the Rfam family "Eukaryotic large subunit ribosomal RNA", at positions 141 to 770 of the family's 3401-position model. Lineage: Eukaryota; Metazoa; Arthropoda; Malacostraca; Amphipoda; Gammaridae. The record is from RNAcentral.
GAAUGUUGGGUAAAGGGAAAGGUCGUAGUCAAACCCCACAGCAACGGGAACUCAAAGUCAGCCCCGGAAGGGCUAUCCCAACUAACGGCGGGAAAGACUCCACGGAGGGUGUAAGGCCCGUGUGGGCGCGUGUUAAAGCUGUGUGGGCUCGGCCUGGAUUCCCUGAGAGUCGCGUUGCUUGAGCAUGCAGCGCUAAGCAGGUCGUAAACUCGAUCUAAGGCUAAAUAUGUCCACAGAACCGAUAGCGAACAAGUACCGUGAGGGAAAGUUGAAAAGCACUCUGGAGAGAGAGUCAAAAGACCGUGAAACCGCUCAGAGUAUAAGCCCAUGGCUGCUUGGAAGGCAUAUCGCUAGCGGGGCAUCGGUCUGCCUUCGCGGGGAGUCGGUGUUACCUUGCUUCUGUUGUGGCUCGUCAUGGAAGGGGGGUCAGGUCCACAUCCCGCCGACGUGUGGGGGGUUCUUGGGUGUGUUGUGAUUCCUCGGUUGGCUUCGGCUGGCCGGGGGGCCCUUCGUGCUCGGUUCCUCUUUAGACACGGACGUUCAGACUCAGUUGCAAGACGCGAUAAACAGCCCACCACGGCACGUUGUGAGGUCACCCACAGGCUCGACUUUCGAUCGUGAACCUUGACGCCGAGCAAGCACAAUGCGUGUCGCUGAGGUUCCUAACCAGGCAACACGCUGCCAGGAUCGUGGAACGACACGCGCUCAAAAGUCAGGUUCGGGCGGAGACUGAGUACUGGUAUGAUCCUCUUGCGACGAGCCGGCUUCUGGCCAAUAUCCGAUGCUCAGGUCUCCCGCAUGUGCCGCGGGAGAUCGCCUUGACGGUCUGGAUCUUUAACGAGUCCUCUCAGUCGGGCAACGGAUAGAGUGGUGUAAAGUCCAAGCCCAUCGGUCACGUCUCGAAACACGGGCCAAGGAGUAUAGCAUGUGUGCAAGUCUAAGAGUCUCACAAAACUCGAAGGCGAAGUGAAAGCAAGUAAGCGGCGGGUGAUCUACGGAGAGAUCCCGUCAGCUAGAGGGGCUCUCGGGCCUCU